GUUAUUACAGAGCCCGAGUUUGAGUUCCCUGAGUCCUAACAGCAAAUUCCCACUGGUUGUCUAUUUACAAAUGUUGGUGUACAUGCAUCCAUGCUGCUCUCUCCAUUCAUGUCACCCUCUCUCUCUUGUUCCCCACCCUGGUCCGUGAGUCUGUCCUCUAUGUCUGCAUCUCCAGUGCUGCUAUGUGAACAGAUUCGUCAGACCCAUCCUUCUCGAUUCUAUGUUUUUCUUUUUCUGACUGACUUCCUGUUUAAUAUGCUCUCGGUUCAUCCCCUUCUUUAGAACGGACUCAAAUGUGUUCCUUUUUAUGGUUGCAUUCCAUCCAGGCUCUGACUGUUCCCUAGCCAUGUUUUGAGGAGGGUCAUGGAGCCAUUGUGCUCCAUUUCAGUUUGGGCUUCCAGUCUGAGUGCUCACAGCAGAGCUGCUUCUGGGUGAGCCCUCUGAGGUCUGCGAGCAUGGGGCUGCCCACUCUUCCCUGGCGGGAGCUUUGUCUCCUCAGGGCCCUCAGGGCUCGGGCUCUGGGGUCACGGGGCUGCGUCCCGGCUGAGAGGAGCAGGGUUGCCUUUGUGCCCGCCAGCAGGGAGGCGCUGCAACAGGAGAAAAUGAGGAUGAAGUAGACGUUUCCUGUGUCCAGCUGAGCGCUGACCGGAGACUGCCCACAGUACUUCUUCAUUCCAUGUGGACUCCUUCAAGGACAGUGGAGCAUCACAGCUUCCCUUGAACUUCUCCUGGAAUAUAUAGGUGAACUAUAAAGAAAGCUGAGCACAGAAGAAUGGAUGCUUUUGAACUGUGGUGUUGGAGAAGACUCUUGAGAGUCCCUUGGACUGCAAGGAAAUCCAACCAGUCCAUCCUAAAGGAAAUCCGUUCUGGGUGUUCAUCGGAAGGACUGAUGUUGAAGCUGAAACUCCAAUUUUUGGAGAGCUGACUCAUUUGAAAAGACCCUGAUGUUGGGAAAGAUUGAAGACAGGAGGAGACGGGGACGACAGCGGAUGAGAUGGUUAGAUGGCACCAGCGACCCAAUGGUUACGAGUUUGGGUAAACUCUGGGAGUUGGUGUUGGACAGGGAGGCCUGGCGUGCUGCGGUUCAAUGGGGGUCGCAAAGAGUCAGACACGACCAAGCGAAUGAACAGAACUGAACUGAACUGAAAAACAAAUGCUGUUCAAGGACACUGAAAGAACCCUGAUGUUGAAAAUCAGAUCUGUAUUGUGAGCAAUGCUUAGAAAUCCAUGAGUUGACACAUAGUAUUAAGCCUAUCAUCCUUGUAGUUCCCUCAGUGAAAUAUGUUGCGAAAAGCUCUUCCUUCAUGGUAUAGAUUCAUGAAGAAGCUAAAUAGCAUGAAUCCUUUACGUUGACAACUGUGAAUUUAAAUCUCCUGUGAAUCCUAUGUGACAACCACACAUACCAACAUGAUUUAUUAGUAUUAUAUCAAUAUUUUUAGUCCUACUGUCUUUCAACUAAAAAUGUCACUAUACAAUGGUACAUGAAGUCAAGACACAAAAUCAGGGCAAAUACAAAAUAUUCCAUCCUUUGAGAAAGGGAGCUAAAAAAUAAUGUGCUUUGCCUAUUGCAUUUUUAUGUAUUAGAUCCUUAAGUAUUUUAUUCACCACACCCAACUGAAUGGUUCACAAAAGUUUCAGAGAGGAAAGGAUUAUUUCUCUUUAACAAUAAGGAGUUCAACUGCUCUCAAAGCAAAUACCAGACGGUAAUCACCAUGAUGGACAAAGUUGAUUAUUCAUAUUUAUAUUACUCAUUCGUUAGCUUGCCAAAGGUUCUAGAUCUGUUACCACAUUUUUUAAAAAUAAUAUUCACAUGUGAAAGUGAAAGUGGCUCAGUGGUGCCUGACUCUUUGUGACGCCAUGGACUAUAGAGUCCAUGGCAUUCUCUAGGCCAGAAUACUGGAGUGGGUUGCCUGUCCCUUCUCCAGGGAAUCUUCCUGACCCAGGAAUGAAACCGGAGUCUCCUGCAUUCAGAAAAAUCAUGUCCUUUGAAUUUUCAUUUUAUUAUAUAGGAUCACGGCAAUGUGAUUACAUAAAAUUGUUUAGUUUCCUUUACGUUUCUCCUGUUUGAUAUAGAUAUCAGCUUUUGAUUCUAUC
This is a long non-coding RNA of Bos taurus (domestic cattle), 2094 nucleotides long. Lineage: Eukaryota; Metazoa; Chordata; Mammalia; Artiodactyla; Bovidae. The record is from Ensembl.